UACAGAGGGUGCGAGCGUUAAUCGGAAUUACUGGGCGUAAAGCGUGCGUAGACGGUAGCGUAAGUCAGAUGUGAAAGCCCCGGGCUCAACCUGGGAAUUGCAUUUGAGACUGCUCUGCUCGGGUGCGGAAGAGGGAAGCGGAAUUUCCGGUGUAGCGGUGAAAUGCGUAGAUAUCGGAAGGAACACCAGUGGCGAAAGCGGCUUCCUGGUCCGACACCGACGUUCAGGCACGAAAGCGUGGGGAGCAAACGGG
RNAcentral lists this ribosomal RNA (253 nucleotides) under uncultured bacterium. RNAcentral describes it as "partial 16S ribosomal RNA". It matches the Rfam family "Bacterial small subunit ribosomal RNA", at positions 524 to 776 of the family's 1533-position model. The record is from RNAcentral.